RNAcentral lists this long non-coding RNA (860 nucleotides) under Homo sapiens (human). Its description in RNAcentral is "novel transcript". Lineage: Eukaryota; Metazoa; Chordata; Mammalia; Primates; Hominidae. The record is from RNAcentral.
UUUAUUGUCAAAAACAUUUAUUUCUUCAAGUACAAAUAGUAAGUAUUAACCAUUUCGGAUGGUUUGCAUGUGCUCGGUUUUACUUAUGUUAACUCAUUUUUACCUCACAACAGUUACCGUGGUAAGAAAUUAUUAUCCACAUUGAUAUGUAAAUAUCAAUCCACAGAGGAAGAAAAUUGCUUAAGACCAAAGUCAUAGUUAUUAAAUGCCAGGGUCACAAUAUACCAUCUGCAAGCUGGAGAAUCAGAGAAGCCGGUGGCAUGGCCUGAUCCAAGUUGGAAGGAAAGCCCACCUGCUUCUGGUUUGCAGAUGGCAGUCUUUGUGUGGUAGUCUUACAUGGCAGAGAGAGAGAGCAAGCUUUUGUGUCUCUCUUUAUAAUGCCACUGCCAUGAUCUGAAUGUGUCCCCUGAAAUUCACUCAUAAAACAGUCUCCUCCAAAAACAUGGUCCUUCUCAGAAACAGUGCUUCCCCAGCCAUCUAGGCAUCCCUCAAUCCUGUCAAGUUGACACCUAAAACUAUCACAGGGACACUCUACAAGUAACUGGUAAACCCACCAGAAGAUCAGGGUCCAGAUGCAGAAAGCAGGUGCUGAUGAGUUUUUAAAUAUCUUGGGGUCUCCUAGUGGGCUGCUAUAGCAAGUUACCAUAGACUGGGUGGCUUAAACAACACACAUUUCUUUCUUACUGUUCUGAAGGCUGGCAAGUCCAAGAUCAAGGUGCAGGCACAUCUGGUGUCUGAUGAGGGUCCACCCGCUUUCUGAUUUGCUGAGGACAGUCUUCUUGUGGUAUUCUCACAUGGCAGAGAGCAAGCUCUUGUGUCUCUUUUUAUAAGGCCACUGCGAUGGUCUGAAUGUGUCUCCC